RNAcentral lists this ribosomal RNA (505 nucleotides) under Pseudomonas sp. B1(2010). Its description in RNAcentral is "bacterial SSU rRNA". It matches the Rfam family "Bacterial small subunit ribosomal RNA", at positions 9 to 507 of the family's 1533-position model. Lineage: Bacteria; Pseudomonadati; Pseudomonadota; Gammaproteobacteria; Pseudomonadales; Pseudomonadaceae. The record is from RNAcentral.
GAGUUUGAUCAUGGCUCAGAUUGAACGCUGGCGGCAGGCCUAACACAUGCAAGUCGAGCGGCAGCACGGGUACUUGUACCUGGUGGCGAGCGGCGGACGGGUGAGUAAUGCCUAGGAAUCUGCCUGGUAGUGGGGGAUAACGCUCGGAAACGGACGCUAAUACCGCAUACGUCCUACGGGAGAAAGCAGGGGACCUUCGGGCCUUGCGCUAUCAGAUGAGCCUAGGUCGGAUUAGCUAGUUGGUGAGGUAAUGGCUCACCAAGGCGACGAUCCGUAACUGGUCUGAGAGGAUGAUCAGUCACACUGGAACUGAGACACGGUCCAGACUCCUACGGGAGGCAGCAGUGGGGAAUAUUGGACAAUGGGCGAAAGCCUGAUCCAGCCAUGCCGCGUGUGUGAAGAAGGUCUUCGGAUUGUAAAGCACUUUAAGUUGGGAGGAAGGGCAUUUACCUAAUACGUAAGUGUUUUGACGUUACUGACAGAAUAAGCACCGGCUAAUACUGUG